UAGAGUUUGAUCCUGGCUCAGGAUGAACGCUGGCGGUAUGCUUAACACAUGCAAGUCGAACGGGAUGCUUAGGCAUCUAGUGGCGGACGGGUGAGUAACGCGUGAGAAUCUGGCUCCAGGUCGGGGAUAACAGUUGGAAACGACUGCUAAUACCGGAUGUGCCGAGAGGUGAAAGAUUUAUUGCCUGGAGAUGAGCUCGCGUCUGAUUAGCUAGUUGGUGGUGUAAGGGACCACCAAGGCGUCGAUCAGUAGCUGGUCUGAGAGGAUGAUCAGCCACACUGGGACUGAGACACGGCCCAGACUCCUACGGGAGGCAGCAGUGGGGAAUUUUCCGCAAUGGGCGAAAGCCUGACGGAGCAAUACCGCGUGAGGGAGGAAGGCUCUUGGGUCGUAAACCUCUUUUCUCAAGGAAGAAGAAAGUGACGGUACUUGAGGAAUAAGCAUCGGCUAACUCCGUGCCAGCAGCCGUGGUAAUACGGAGGAUGCAAGCGUUAUCCGGAAUGAUUGGGCGUAAAGGGUCUGCAGGUGGAACUGAAAGUCUGCUGUUAAAGAGUUUGGCUUAACCAAAUAAAAGCGGUGGAAACUACAGAACUAGAGUGCGGUAGGGGCAAAAGGAAUUCCUGGUGUAGCGGUGAAAUGCGUAGAUAUCAGGAAGAACACCGGUGGCGAAAGCGUUUUGCUAGACCGUAACUGACACUGAGGGACGAAAGCUAGGGGAGCGAAUGGGAUUAGAUACCCCAGUAGUCCUAGCCGUAAACGAUGGAUACUAGGCGUGGCUUGUAUCGACCCGAGCCGUGCCGGAGCUAACGCGUUAAGUAUCCCGSCUGGGGAGUACGCACGCAAGUGUGAAACUCAAAGGAAUUGACGGGGGCCCGCACAAGCGGUGGAGUAUGUGGUUUAAUUCGAUGCAACGCGAAGAACCUUACCAAGACUUGACAUCCUGCGAAUCCCGGUGAAAGCUGGGAGUGCCUUAGGGAGCGCAGAGACAGGUGGUGCAUGGCUGUCGUCAGCUCGUGUCGUGAGAUGUUGGGUUAAGUCCCGCAACGAGCGCAACCCUCGUUUUUAGUUGCCAGCAUUAAGUUGGGCACUCUAGAGAGACUGCCGGUGACAAACCGGAGGAAGGUGAGGAUGACGUCAAGUCAGCAUGCCCCUUACGUCUUGGGCUACACACGUACUACAAUGCUACGGACAGAGGGCAGCAAGCCAGGGAUGGCAAGCGAAUCCAGAAACCGUAGCUCAGUUCAGAUCGAAGGCUGCAACUCGCCUUCGUGAAGGAGGAAUCGCUAGUAAUUGCAGGUCAGCAUACUGCAGUGAAUUCGUUCCCGGGCCUUGUACACACCGCCCGUCACACCAUGGAAGUUGGUCACGCCCGAAGUCAUUACCCCAACCGAAAGGAGGGGGAUGCCUAAGGUAGGACNUGGUGACUGGGGUG
This 1432-nucleotide ribosomal RNA is filed under the name Cylindrospermopsis raciborskii. Its description in RNAcentral is "16S ribosomal RNA". It matches the Rfam family "Bacterial small subunit ribosomal RNA". The record is from RNAcentral. Lineage: Bacteria; Bacillati; Cyanobacteriota; Cyanophyceae; Nostocales; Aphanizomenonaceae.